GAUGAAGAACGCAGCGAAACGCGAUACGUAAUGUGAAUUGCAGAAUUCAGUGAAUCAUCGAAUCUUUGAACGCAUAUUGCGCUCUCUGGUAUUCCGGAGAGCAUGCUUGUUUGAGUAUCAGUAAACACCUCAACUUCCAUAUCUUUUUUGAAAUGGGAGUUGGACUUGAGUGAUCCCAACGCUUUUCCUCACCGAAAAGUGGCGGGUUACUUGAAAUGCAGGUGCAGCUGGACUUUUCUCUGAGCUAUAAGCAUAUCUAUUUAGUCUGCCUAAAAAACAGAUUAUUACCUUUGCUGCAGCUAACAUAAAGGAGAUUAGUUCUUGUGCUGACUGAUGCAGGAUUCACAAAGACGGCUUCGGCCGACUUUGUAAACUCGAUCUCAAAUCAAGUAAGACUACCCGCUGAACUUAAGCAUAUCAAUAAGCGGAGGA
Molecule: unclassified non-coding RNA, 432 nt
Filed under: soil metagenome
Description: partial contains 5.8S ribosomal RNA, internal transcribed spacer 2, and large subunit ribosomal RNA
Rfam family: 5.8S ribosomal RNA (bases 1-120)
Source: RNAcentral